Long non-coding RNA from Perca fluviatilis (European perch), 448 nucleotides. RefSeq lists it as uncharacterized. The record is from RefSeq and is a predicted model, not a curated record. The transcript has 3 exons. Lineage: Eukaryota; Metazoa; Chordata; Actinopteri; Perciformes; Percidae.
AGCCUGUAGUCUGUGAGUGGUAUUAACCUGUUGGCUUAAUGUCCAUAGUGGAAUAAGCUAGCUAGCUACAGGCUAGUGCUAGCCUACAUUUAAUCACCAUUUAAUCAGUGCAGGGAAACGUUUAGCAAGAUGUUCAUAUUAAAUCAUUGUCCCUGCCCCUUUUAGCAGCCUUAACAACAGAUGAGUCAGCAGCAGCCCAGUCUCCCCCUAACUGAGCCCCUCCCUGUCCCAGUGAAGAAGCCUUCAAUUCAUGGAGCAGAUGAGAUGGAUAUUGGAAGAUAUUUCAGCAGAGAGAGAGAGAAUCAGGAGAUUGGCAGAGCAGUUGAUCCUGAUUGAGUGACGUCCCUGGACUCGGCUAUCCAAAGCCCCGCUGAAGCAGAUAUUCUGUGCCGGCGCCAGGAGAAACACGGAGCUGACUCCAGGCUGGACUGGACUUGGUUGUUGUUUC